This is an RNA transcript of Orcinus orca (killer whale), 7043 nucleotides long. It is a transcript of the gene named cilia- and flagella-associated protein 251-like, with no coding region annotated. The record is from RefSeq and is a predicted model, not a curated record. NCBI's taxonomy places the organism in Eukaryota, Metazoa, Chordata, Mammalia, Artiodactyla, Delphinidae. The transcript is spliced from 2 exons.
ACACACACACACACACACACACACGGAAAGGAAUGUAUACAACAUAAUACCCAGGACAAGGCAUUUCUAAAAUGUCAGGAGCUUCAUCCAGUUUGGGAAUUCUUUCCUAACCUAACGUUCUUACAAUACCACCUUCAAGAUUUACAUCACACUCAGUGGGACUGGGUUCUUCAACAGCUGCAGCACUUACUGCCCACAGUAAACAAUCACAGCUUUUGGGUGUGACAGCAAAGACAGUUCUCAUGAAAACAUAUUUGAUCCCAUGGAGAAAUCUAACCAGUCUCUGCAUGGGAUUUUUUGUUGUUGUUGUUGUUUUGCGGUACACUGGCCUCUCACUGUUGUGGCCUCUCCCAUUGCGGAGCACAGGCUCCGGACGCUAAGGAUCAGCGGCCAUGGCUCACAGGCCCAGCCGCUUCAUGGCAUGUGGGAUCUUCCCAGACCGGGGCACGAACCCGUGUCCCCUGCAUCGGCAGGCGGACUCUCAACCACUGCGCCACCAGGGAAGCCCUACGUGGGAGUUUUUCCAUCCAAAUUGACAGCUACUUGGUUACAACGUUUACAAAAUUUGUCAGGCUUACCAAGACCAUCAUUAAUAAGCCCUUGGGAAAGACUUGAGGGAAAUUGCAGCCCAAUGUUACUCUUCUGGGGGAUCUUAAAACAUAUACAUCCCAUCUUACAGAAUAAAAAUGAAAAGCCCAGUGGCAAAGGUAAUGUGGGAGGAAAUCUAUUGGUAUCGUUACAUGACCAGCUCCCAAGAGGCCACGUCUGAGGCUGUUAAAGCUAUACAAAUAGCUGCCCAAGGAAAAUUUCCCCUAGAAUGGAAGCAGUGGAACAGGUAGCCCUGCACUGAAAUUCAGCAGCCUUGUGAUAAACAGGGACAGAAAUGGGACAAAUGUACAGUCUGUUUUUGCAAUCACUUGGCCCACCCAGCUGUUUGUUACUGGUAGUUGGCAGGAAACUCAAGCAACAAUCGCACCACUCUGAGCAAGAAAGAACAUACAUACAAUUGCCCACCAAAACAAACCUGCAUGUUGCCUUAGUCACAGCAAUGUAUAAGAUGGCAAAUUUAAGCACAUUCUGCUUACACAGUCAUUUAUUCACACAAACUUGGUCACAUAUUCACUCAAUAAAAUGAAGAUGCCCACGGAUUCACUCACACACACAAACACACACACUCAAGUAUGCUCACAUGUAAAACUCACACAUUCACUCACAUGCACACAUUAACACAGUCACAAACAGGCAUGCUCACAUAUUCACUUACCCACAAACAUACUCACACACCAUGAAGUUCACACCUUCACUCAUGCAUAUGGAUACACUCAGAUAAAUUCAUACACACUCACAUGUUCACUCAUUCAAAUGUAAUCAAACAUUAACAAGCUUACACGAUCAAACACACUUAAAGAUUCACAUGCACAUGUUCACACACUCACUCACAGGUUUACUAGCACUUGUAGAUACCCUGGUUUACGAACAUGUAUCUACAUAUUCAGACACCCAGAUAUAUUUGAAAUACCAUGUUCACGUACAUGACAGUGCUUACGAAUUCAUUGCACACGUGAAUAUGAUCGCAUAUGCAAGAUCACUCACGUUCCUUCACACACAUCAACACACUGACACGUUCACUCCCACACAGUGGUGUGCUUGGUGUUAAUGGGCUCACACAAUCAACAAUCUCAUGCACACAAACAUGCUCACAAAUUCAUUCACAUACAUAGUGACUCUCCCAUAAAUUCACUUUCACACAUAUCCAUUCUCCCUCUCCCAUUAAUGUGCUCACAUAUACAAACAUGCUCACUAUUUACUCACACAAUAAGAUACUCAAGAAUUCAUACAAACACAGACUCACAUAUAUGCACACGUUCACACAUUCACUCAGUCACAUGAGUUUGCUCACAAAUUCACUUACACACUGGCACACUUGUAUUUGCUUACAUGGACACAGCCACGUAUUCACUUAUGCACAUGCAUUAGCCUGCUCACAAACUAAAAUACUCACAUAUUCAGUCACACACAGAUAUACUCUCACUUUAUCAUGCUGCUUGCACCGUCACUCACGUGUAGACGUAUCUUUACACGUUUAUUCACCUACAAACACACUCAAUCCCUCACACACAUGAACAUGCUCACAGUCACCCACAGAUGAACACUCUCAAAGAAGGGCGUGCGUAUAUAUUUAUUCACUGUUAACAUCAAACAAAGUUACUCUCACACAGAGACAAACUCACGUAUACUCACAAACACGUGCUGAUGCUCAUCAACAGUCACACGUAUGAACUUGAUCACACAUGCAGUCAUACUCAAUAUGUAAAUAUACUUACAUGUUAAGUCCCCAGAGUGCCUGCUCCACAUAUGAACAUGCUCCCACAUUCCCGACAGAAAUUAUUAUCCCACAUAUUACACACUCACACGUUUACUUGCAUACAAAUUCACUCACGUAGUCAAAUACACCCACACGUUAACUGUCUGACAGACAAAUAACAUUCAUAUAUUCAUUCACUGGCAUGAACACACUUAUAUGUAUGCUCAGUGACACUCAUAAAAUAUGUUGACACGUUUAUUCACUCAAACUGGCUCACCCAGUCACUUAAAUGAACAUGGUUACAGUAUCACUCAUGCACAAGACAUUCAUAUGUGUCUCAUGUACAUACACAUUCCCUCACAGGUUGUGCAUGUAAACACAAACAGGGACAUGCUUACACAUUCACUUGCAAAUGAACAUGCUUCCAAACGCACACUCACACUUUCACUCCCAGAAAUAUAUUCUUCCAUUAAGAAGCUCACAUACAUAAACACACUUGCAACAUUCACUCACACACCCCAAAAUGCCCAAACAUCCAUUCCCUCAUACAACCAUGUUCACAAAUUUAUUCCAACCUAAAGACAUACUAAUUUAGGCUUAUGUGCACAGAUCCUGCACAUUGUACACUCUCAAACUCUUUGCACGUGCAAAUGAACACAAAUAGGAGCACACUUACCCAUUCAAUUGCAAAUAAACAUUUUCACGCUCAUCAUGAAACUCACAUGUUCAGACACCCACAGAUGUACAUAUACACUCACAAGUAGAUGCUCACAUAUUCACUCAUAAGUUUACUCAUCCAUUAGCAACCCCAUGCAAACUAGUAUGCUUACAGAUUAACUCGCACACGUGAGCAAGCUAACCUCCAUGAACAAAUUCACGUAUUUACUCAUACACGUGAAUAGGUACAAAUAUGUGUUAAAUACACAAAUAUACUCACACCAACACACUUAUGCCUGAAUAGGCUCACACAUCAAUCUCGUACAUGCACACACAUUUAUUCCCUGACAUGAUCACGCUCAGAGGUUUACUCACACUGGUGGAGACGCUUAUGUACUCACCGAUACAUGCUCAUUCACUCACUCAGACGAACAACUAUUACUCAAACCAACAUGGCUACACACAUGAAAUGCUCACACCUUCACUCACUCGUGAAAAUAUGCUCAUAUAACCAUAUAUUCAUUCACUCAUGUAUCAACACUCAUAUAUUUACUGAUGUACUUUAAUUUAGGCUCACAUGCAUUGACAUGUUCACUUACAAACACAAACAUGGUUUAAAAUUGGCUUGCACACGUAGGGAUUCACAAAUAAUCACUUGCACAUAUUCUCACACCCAGUCACAGAUGCAUAUCAACAUAUUAAGUAUAAAACUUGAUUACCAUUCACUCAUAUAUAUGUUCAAACACACAAAUAAACUUGUGAAUUUACUCAGACACAAAAAUUGAUAAUAUACAUGCACACAUACACAUUGUUACUUAUAAUAACAUGCUCACAAUUCACUCCAAAGGGCACAGUGACAGUUUAACUCACAGUCACACUCCUGUACUCACGAACAGUCUUACACAUUCUGUCACUUGCACAAACAUGUGUGAACAUUCAGUCACAUGAGCAUGAUAAUACAUGUAUUCACUCACGUGAACACGCUCACAAAAUCAUUCACACACUAGACAGACUCAUUUGCACUUAUAUGUACAUACACUGUUUUCUAAAGAUUUUCUUUUGAUGUGGACAUUUUUUUUAUAGUCUUUAUUGAAUUUGUUACAAUAUUGCUUCUGUUUUCUGUUUUGAUUUUCUGGCCAUGUGGGAUCUCAGCUCCCCGACCAGGGAUUGAACCUGCACCCCGUGCAUUGGAAGGCAAAGUCUUAGCCACUGGACUGCCAGGGAAGUCCCUGUAUAUACACUUUAACUUCCAUAAAAUAACAUGAUCACAAAAGGAGCAUGCUCAUGUCUUUAUUUGUCCAUGAACAUGCUCAUACUUACAAACACUUACACAAUCGUCCCUACACUGUGAUUUAUUUAUUUAUUUAUUUUUGGCUACUGUUGGGUCUUCGUUGCUGCAUGCGGUCUUUCUCUAGUUGCGGUGACUGCGGGCUACUCUUCGUUGCAGUGUGCGGGCUUCUCAUUGCGGUGGCCUCUCUUGUUGUGGAGCACAGGCUCUAGGCACGCGAGCUUCAGUAAUUGUUGCACAUGGGCUCUAGAGCGCAGGCUCAGUAUUUGUGGCCCAUGGGCUUAGUUGGUCCGCGGCAUGUUGGAUCUUCCCGGACCAGGGCUCGAACCUGUGUCCCCUGCAUUGUCGGGUGGAUUCUUAACCACUGCUCCACCAGGGGAGGCCCUACUCUGUGAUUUCUUAAUGUUAAAUCAACGUUACAUUCCUGGGAUAAAAAUCCUUUGGUCAUGGCAUACAAUCUUUGUGUAUGUUAUUGGACUGGUACAGGCAUUAUGCCCAAGGAGUCUUGGUCUUUUUCAGGGAGAGUCCAAAACAGGUUCAGUCAGGCAAGAAACUCAUACAACAUGGAAGACUCUCUUCUGUCGUUAUACACAAUCAUGCAUGAAGUGAAUCUUUUUUUAGAAUGAGAAGAAAGUUCAUAAUGAAAAAAGAUAACAACUACCAUGAACAAAAAUUAGAAAAUAUCACACACACACAAUGCCACAUAUGGCAUGAUUCCAUUUCUAUGAAAUGUCCAGAUUAGGCAAAUCCAUAGUGGCAGAAAAGAGAUUAGUGGUUGCCAGUGUUUGAGGAUAGGAGGGAAUGGGGUAUGACCGCUUCCUGGGUAUAGGAUUUCUUUUUUUUUUUUUUUUUUUUUGCGGUACGCGGGCCUCUCACUGUUGUGGCCUCUCCCGUUGCAGAGCACAGGCUGCGGAUGCGCAGGCCCAGCGGCCAUGGCUCACGGGCCCAGCUGCUCCAUGGCAUGUGGGAUCUUCCCGGACCGGGGCACGAACCCAUGUCCCCUGCAUCGGCAGGCUGACUCUCAACCACUGCGCCACCAGCAAAGCCCCAGGGUUUCUUUUUGAGUUGAUGAAAUGCUCUGAAACUAGAUAGCGGUGAUGGUUGCACAGCAUCGUGAAUGUACUAAAAGAACUGAUUGGUACAUUUUAUUUUUAAAACUUUUUAUUUGAUUUGUCCAUUUUAAAUGGACUGAAAUCAUUAAUUUCAUGUUAUUUUAUUUUCACUUUAGUUAAAAAAUAACAAAGAAAGAAACGUGCAACCCGGUCUUAACAGAGAAGAGGCUUCUUGUAAAAAAAAAAGCCUGAGUUGGGACGGAAAGGAUGAUUAGGGCUUAGAACGUCAGUGGGGGCCAAAGCUAUGUAUAAGGUCUAGUUAGGGGAAUGAAGAUGGGCAAAGAUCCAUUAGAAGAAAGAGAACAUAGCAUAUUUGAAGGAUUAAAAGAUGAUCUGUGCAGCUACAGCAGUGAGCAUGGAAUGUGUUCAUUUUGUGAUGUGCCCAGACAUUAAUUUGCACUUACUCUGUGCCAAGCUCUACAUCAAGUAAGCCCUGGUAAAGUAUUAGCUCAUUAAAUCUGUACAGCAAUCCGAUGAGGUUGGGACUAUUUUUCACCUCGUUUACUGAUGGAGAAAUUGAGAAUUAUUAUAUAAGACAGGAUUUGAGAUAUUAAGUCCUGAGCCCAAGAUCUCACAGCCUGUAAGUGAGCUGGAACUUUUAUCCAGGCAGUCUGGUUUGAGAGCUCACACUCUUUAACUGCCACAGCUGCCCAAAGAUACCAGGUCCUGCCUCUGCAGGGCAGCUCAUCUCAUGAGUUUAAAGACACAGGGGAUUGGAAAGUGUUUCCGUGUAGAGUUUAUGUUUACAGUUUGCCUAAAGUUCAACUGAAAUAAUCUUUACCCAUACACUCACACACACCCGCCCAGCCCUCCAGAUACGUUUCUGAGUCAUAGAAGGUUUUUGCCUCUACGUAGUGUUUGCACAGAUUUUACCUUUAGAUCUCCCAAUUCUUCCAAAAUCUUAAGGGUAUUUUGAAAUCCUUCAGGUAGAAAAACUGCCUCACCUGGGAGUGGUGUUCCAUCAGGGGCUCAGGCAGAGGUGUUGAGUGUACCUGAGGCUGGAAUAUUAAAGAAUCAUAUGGGGAAGGAAGCUUUUUUCCUAAUCUCUGAGUUUCCUAGGUGGCCAUGGGAGAAAGAAGAGAAGUCACUAUGCACAUGAACUUUUUUUCUACAUCAAAAUUAAUGACACAUGUAAAUUUCAUUAAAAUCUGUCAACGGUUCCCUAUUUACCAUAUAAACAUAAGUACACUUCCUAACAAAGGUCUUAAAUUUUGUUCUUGUGUUUUUGGAAGUGGGUGUUGCUGAUGUUAUAGUCACUUCUGUGUUUAUUUUGUCUCAGAAGGCAUACUGUUUGCAUUCUUUGUCAGGAUAUAUAAGAGGAAGUAGAUGCGAGGUAAGUAAAAGUUGUUUAAUAUCUGAGCUCAAAAUUCUAUAACCUGUUCUAAGUUUCUGGGUCUCUGCCAACCCUAUUUUGCCUUUCCAGCUGGCUCACUAUUAAGCUGUGCCUGUAGAGAUUUCCUGAGAGAGACAAGAAGUCUGAAGGAAGGAGAAUCUACUAUGUCUUGUCUCUGUUCCUGUUCCUCUCCAGAUCACCCCUUGUAAAGAUCCUCCCGAGGGCAGAGAACUAGAUUCUGCUGCUGAUUUUAAAUCGGGAAAUGUUAUCCACCACCUUGUGAUGCCAAAGUCCGUAUCAUUCGACACUAAAGAAGAGAGUGAACAUCAGUAUGAAAACGCUGAUGAA